GGGGGUGAACGGUUUCGACUCCGAUCGUUGAUCGAGGUGAAGCGUGCCGAGGAAGACGACGAUGAUCUCGUUAACCAUGCGUCGUAACAAAAUAAGUGCCGACAACAGUCGCACUGCCCCGCAGAGCGCUUUCGCGCUCGCUGCCUGAUAAACAGGUAGGGGCUGUCGGGCCGGAGGCGUCCCCGCUCCGGAUCCCGGCAUCAUUAAGGGGACUCACCACGCGGCUCGGCCACGGAGCCGCGUGGGACAUCGAACAGUGGCUGGGAUCGUCACAUCGGCUUGUUCGCGUGACCGGUGGAUCCGAGUAGAGGCCUAGCGGACUGCGCACGGAGAAGACCUCGUGAACCGACGGAGGACCCGGGUUCGAUUCCCGGCACCUCCACCU
Molecule: transfer-messenger RNA, 385 nt
Filed under: Pseudonocardia sp.
Lineage: Bacteria; Bacillati; Actinomycetota; Actinomycetes; Pseudonocardiales; Pseudonocardiaceae
Rfam family: transfer-messenger RNA
About the family: Bacterial tmRNA, also known as 10Sa RNA or SsrA, is named for its dual tRNA and mRNA-like properties. Its role is to liberate the mRNA from a stalled ribosome. To accomplish this part of the tmRNA is used as a reading frame that ends in a translation stop signal.
Source: RNAcentral